AUCAUCUGUUGCCAGCAUUUAAGGUGGGGACUCAGAUGAGACUGCCGGUGACAAACCGGAGGAAGGUGGGGACGACGUCAAGUCAUCAUGGCCCUUAUGUCCUGGGCUACACACGUGCUACAAUGGCCGGUACAGAGUGAAGCGAAACCGCGAGGUGAAGCAAAACGCAGAAAGCCGGUCUCAGUACGGAUUGGAGUCUGAAACUCGACUUCAUGAAGUUGGAAUCGCUAGUAAUCGCGCAUCAGCAUGGCGCGGUGAAUACGUUCCCGGGCCUU
RNAcentral lists this ribosomal RNA (275 nucleotides) under uncultured Spirochaeta sp. RNAcentral describes it as "partial 16S ribosomal RNA". It matches the Rfam family "Bacterial small subunit ribosomal RNA", at positions 1107 to 1382 of the family's 1533-position model. The record is from RNAcentral. Lineage: Bacteria; Pseudomonadati; Spirochaetota; Spirochaetia; Spirochaetales; Spirochaetaceae.